GCUAGUGGAUAUUGCACGUUGAAUGUAUCAGUCCUCCUUGGAUGAAUGAAGCAACGUUGCGCGUGGUUAGUUUCCUGAUGGGUGACCAAAUGGGUAAUCGCAUGCUCCUGGCU
Molecule: ribosomal RNA, 113 nt
Filed under: Diaphorina citri (Asian citrus psyllid)
Lineage: Eukaryota; Metazoa; Arthropoda; Insecta; Hemiptera; Psyllidae
Source: RNAcentral